RNAcentral lists this ribosomal RNA (433 nucleotides) under uncultured bacterium. RNAcentral describes it as "partial 16S ribosomal RNA". It matches the Rfam family "Bacterial small subunit ribosomal RNA", at positions 29 to 507 of the family's 1533-position model. The record is from RNAcentral.
AACGAACGCUGGCGGCAGGCCUAACACAUGCAAGUCGAGCGAGGACUUCGGUCCUAGCGGCGGACGGGUGAGUAACGCGUGGGAACGUGCCCUUUGCUUCGGAAUAGCCCUGGGAAACUGGGAGUAAUACCGGAUGAGCCCUUUGGGGGCAAGAUUUAUCGGCGAAGGAUCGGCCCGCGUUGGAUUAGGUAGUUGGUGGGGUAAUGGCCUACCAAGCCGACGAUCCAUAGCUGGUUUGAGAGGAUGAUCAGCCACACCGGGACUGAGACACGGCCCAGACUCCUACGGGAGGCAGCAGUGGGGAAUCUUAGACAAUGGGGGAAACCCUGAUCUAGCCAUGCCGCGUGAGCGAUGAAGGCCUUAGGGUUGUAAAGCUCUUUCAGCUGGGAAGAUAAUGACGGUACCAGCAGAAGAAGCCCCGGCUAACUCCGUG